GAGACAGCUGGUCUUGUAGGGAACUCGACCUUUCUUGCUUUAAUAAUUGUGUCCUCCCUUAGUAUUCUCUCUUGUGUUUGGUCGUGCCCAAAGGGGCGUUUACCAAACAGCAUUUGGUACAACAAAAUACCAGCUGACCAGACAUCAACUCUUGAGGAUAUAAGAGGUGUCUUACUUAGCUCAAAGCAUUCGGGAGGUAGGUACCAGUACGUUCCCG
RNAcentral lists this unclassified non-coding RNA (217 nucleotides) under Hevea brasiliensis (rubber tree). The record is from RNAcentral. Lineage: Eukaryota; Viridiplantae; Streptophyta; Magnoliopsida; Malpighiales; Euphorbiaceae.